RNAcentral lists this ribosomal RNA (253 nucleotides) under uncultured bacterium. RNAcentral describes it as "partial 16S ribosomal RNA". It matches the Rfam family "Bacterial small subunit ribosomal RNA", at positions 524 to 776 of the family's 1533-position model. The record is from RNAcentral.
UACGGAGGGUGCAAGCGUUAUCCGGAUUCACUGGGUUUAAAGGGAGCGCAGGCGGAUUGGUAAGUCAGUGGUGAAAGCCUCGAGCUUAGCUCGGGAACUGCCAUUGAUACUAUCGAUCUUGAAUUAUCUGGAGGUAAGCGGAAUAUGUCAUGUAGCGGUGAAAUGCUUAGAUAUGACAUAGAACACCAAUUGCGAAGGCAGCUUACUACGGAUAUAUUGACACUGAGGCUCGAAAGCGUGGGGAUCAAACAGG